This 27-nucleotide small RNA is filed under the name Bombyx mori (domestic silkworm). Its description in RNAcentral is "ovarian small RNA-24923". Lineage: Eukaryota; Metazoa; Arthropoda; Insecta; Lepidoptera; Bombycidae. The record is from RNAcentral.
UCAAUUCUGCACUGCCAUUGUGGUUUA